RNAcentral lists this ribosomal RNA (492 nucleotides) under uncultured bacterium. Its description in RNAcentral is "partial 16S ribosomal RNA". It matches the Rfam family "Bacterial small subunit ribosomal RNA", at positions 29 to 507 of the family's 1533-position model. The record is from RNAcentral.
AGUGAACGCUGGCGGUAGGCCUAACACAUGCAAGUCGAACGGCAGCACAGUAAGAGCUUGCUCUUACGGGUGGCGAGUGGCGGACGGGUGAGGAAUACAUCGGAAUCUACUUUUUCGUGGGGGAUAACGUAGGGAAACUUACGCUAAUACUGCAUACGACCUACGGGUGAAAGCAGGGGAUCUUCGGACCUUGCGCGAUUGAAUGAGCCGAUGUCGGAUUAGCUAGUUGGCGGGGUAAAGGCCCACCAAGGCGACGAUCCGUAGCUGGUCUGAGAGGAUGAUCAGCCACACUGGAACUGAGACACGGUCCAGACUCCUACGGGUGGCAGCAGUGGGGAAUAUUGGACAAUGGGCGCAAGCCUGAUCCAGCCAUACCGCGUGGGUGAAGAAGGCCUUCGGGUUGUAAAGCCCUUUUGUUGGGAAAGAAAAGCAGCAGGUUAAUACCCCGCUGUUCUGACGGUACCCAAAGAAUAAGCACCGGCUAACUUCGUG